GGUUACUGCUAUCGGUGUCGCCUAAGCCAUGCGAGUCAUAUGUUCGUAAGAACAUGGCGUACUGCUCAGUAACACGUGGAUAACCUGCCCUUGGGUCCGGCAUAACCCCGGGAAACUGGGGAUAAUUCCGGAUAACGCACAUAUGCUGGAAUGCUUUAUGCGUAAAAUGGAUUCGUCUGCCCAAGGAUGGGUCUGCGGCCUAUCAGGUAGUAGUGGGUGUAAUGUACCUACUAGCCUACGACGGGUACGGGUUGUGAGAGCAAGAGCCCGGAGAUGGAUUCUGAGACAUGAAUCCAGGCCCUACGGGGCGCAGCAGGCGCGAAAACUUUACAAUGCGGGAAACCGUGAUAAGGGGACACCGAGUGCCAGCAUCCUAUGCUGGCUGUCCGGGUGUGUAAAAUACACCUGUUAGCAAGGGCCGGGCAAGGCCGGUGCCAGCCGCCGCGGUAACACCGGCGGCCCGAGUGGUGAUCGUGAUUAUUGGGUCUAAAGGGUCCGUAGCCGGUUUGGUCAGUCCUCCGGGAAAUCUGACAGCUUAACUGUUAGGCUUUCGGAGGAUACUGCCAGACUUGCAACCGGGAGAGGUAAGAGGUACUACAGGGGUAGGAGUGAAAUCUUGUAAUCCCUGUGGGACCACCUGUGGCGAAGGCGUCUUACCAGAACGGGUUCGACGGUGAGGGACGAAAGCUGGGGGCACGAACCGGAUUAGAUACCCGGGUAGUCCCAGCCGUAAACGAUGCUCGCUAGGUGUCAGGCAUGGCGCGACCGUGUCUGGUGCCGCAGGGAAGCCGUGAAGCGAGCCACCUGGGAAGUACGGCCGCAAGGCUGAAACUUAA
Molecule: ribosomal RNA, 836 nt
Filed under: uncultured archaeon
Lineage: Archaea
Description: bacterial SSU rRNA
Rfam family: Archaeal small subunit ribosomal RNA
Source: RNAcentral